GAAAAAAAAGCGCGUUGCUUCUCGCUGGUACCUUCACGCGCAUUGGCAUCCCACCGUCCAUCCCCACUUGCCCCGGAGCGAUCAUAGCCGUCGCUUACCCACUAGUAUUUCCUGCCGCCACGUAGCACUUGAACACGUGUCGCUAAAUUGACGGUAAAUCUGUUGAUUAUUUUAACGUUAUCCUUUGUCGAUCUCUAUAAAUGCAGC
Molecule: unclassified non-coding RNA, 207 nt
Filed under: Hevea brasiliensis (rubber tree)
Lineage: Eukaryota; Viridiplantae; Streptophyta; Magnoliopsida; Malpighiales; Euphorbiaceae
Source: RNAcentral